GAUCCUGGCUCAGAUUGAACGCUGGCGGCAGGCCUAACACAUGCAAGUCGAACGGUAACAGGAAACAGCUUGCUGUUUCGCUGACGAGUGGCGGACGGGUGAGUAAUGUCUGGGAAACUGCCUGAUGGAGGGGGAUAACUACUGGAAACGGUAGCUAAUACCGCAUAACGUCGCAAGACCAAAGAGGGGGACCUUCGGGCCUCUUGCCAUUCGGAUGUGCCCAGAUGGGAUUAGCGUAGUAGGUGGGGUAACGG
Molecule: ribosomal RNA, 254 nt
Filed under: uncultured bacterium
Lineage: Bacteria
Description: partial 16S ribosomal RNA
Rfam family: Bacterial small subunit ribosomal RNA
Source: RNAcentral